UGAAUGUGACGGUACCUGCAGAAGAAGCACCGGCUAACUACGUGCCAGCAGCCGCGGUAAUACGUAGGGUGCAAGCGUUGUCCGGAAUUAUUGGGCGUAAAGAGCUUGUAGGCGGUUUGUCGCGUCUGCUGUGAAAUCCCGGGGCUCAACCCCGAACUUGCAGUGGAUACGGGCAGACUAGAGUGUGGUAGGGGAGACUGGAAUUCCUGGUGUAGCGGUGAAAUGCGCAGAUAUCAGGAGGAACACCGAUGGCGAAGGCAGCUCUCUGGGCCAGUACUGACGCUGAGGAGCGCAAGCGUAAG
RNAcentral lists this ribosomal RNA (302 nucleotides) under uncultured actinomycete. Its description in RNAcentral is "bacterial SSU rRNA". It matches the Rfam family "Bacterial small subunit ribosomal RNA", at positions 464 to 765 of the family's 1533-position model. Lineage: Bacteria; Bacillati; Actinomycetota; Actinomycetes; Actinomycetales. The record is from RNAcentral.